Molecule: long non-coding RNA, 1361 nt
Filed under: Monodelphis domestica (gray short-tailed opossum)
Lineage: Eukaryota; Metazoa; Chordata; Mammalia; Didelphimorphia; Didelphidae
Description: lncRNA (ENSMODG00000048474.1)
Source: RNAcentral
UUAGUAUAUAAUUGAGUGGAAAGAAUCAGAAGAACAAUAUAUGAGAACACAAAAAGAUUUCAGAACUUUGACUACAGCAUCAACCAAUCUUGACUUUAAAAGAUUGAUAAUGAAGAAUAUAUUGUACGUCAGGAUAGAGAGUUAAUGAACCAGAGGCAGAGAAUUAGACAAAGAUUCUCAAAUAUGGCCAAUAUCUUGAAUUGUGUUUUACAUAUACAUAUAUGUGUGUGUGUGUGUGUGUGUGUAACAUAAAGGGGGGAUUUUAACUGAGAGGGAGAAUAGUUAGGUGUAUUAUUUAAUUUAACUGUAAACAAUUGCAAAGCAACUUAAUUUUUUGGAUUGAUGUAUAAUUAUAAGUUUAUACUGUAACUUAAAAUAAAUAUUAAAAUAGUAAAAGAAUUCAACAAACAAAGAAAAGAUGAGAUAUUGUGUUAAUAAGAACUUCAGGGAGACAGUAAGGAUAAUUGCAACUGAUCUGUAUAUUCCCAACUGUGAGUCAGCUUGAUCUCUUCUUCUUAUUCACUUUAUUUCACACACACACACACACACACAUACACACACACACACACACACACACAACUAUCUUUUUGUGAACUACCUGAUUAAAUAUAUUCCAUCAUCUGAGUAAUAUCCUUUUAAAAAUCUACUUUAUUCUUUAUUUUUCAAGUGUAGGUGUUCGAAUGUUCUUUUUCUAAUGAACAUGGACGUCACUGAAGAAGUCCUUAGUAUUUCAGGGCUCAUUAACAUUAAUACAAUAUCAUCUGCCAAAGCAAUCUUAGAGAAAUCUUGUCAUCAAUAAGGAAUCCUUCUAAUUGAACUUUGGGCAGGGUAUUCAUUGUGACACUGAUGAAUAACUAGUGGGGCUAUCUUCUUGUUUUUGGCACUUCAUGAUAUUGAUGCUGAGCAGAUAAUUGAAGAAAUAGCUACUCUCCUAUUUUCUACUCUGCCUCCAUUGCUGCUACUGCCAUUCUAUGUCCCAACUGGAUCACCAGUCACAAUUUCUGGGAGUAGCUGUGCUACUGACCUCAGCACUUCUCAGGACCACAUCUUCAUUUUGGUGUAUCACUGGAGGAAGGGUGAAGAAAUCGAUAUAAAUGCAAAAGUCAGGCUUGAUUUUCCUUCAAUGCAAAGGAGGCUGGUUUUGAGUUUUUAUGGAGAUGAUUGCUUUGUGACCUCAGUAGACUAUAACUUCUGCCAAGGAUGAGGCUGAACAAACAAACAGGUGCCAGUGUUAGGCAGUCCCUAUGAGCAAAGCAUCUUGAAAAAUAACUUCAAACCUGACUGACAAAGAGGACAGGCUGGGAUGGGAGAUAAGGAGCCUCCUGCAGGCUGAAUCUUCAAGAUCUCUGGUAAGGUUGGUG